Molecule: long non-coding RNA, 703 nt
Organism: Oncorhynchus keta (chum salmon)
Lineage: Eukaryota; Metazoa; Chordata; Actinopteri; Salmoniformes; Salmonidae
Exons: 2
Source: RefSeq, a predicted model, not a curated record
AUCCAUGAACUUUGCCAUACACCUUACACUAUGAUACUUCCACACAUCAUUCCUUUUUCUUAGUUUAAAGUUAAUAGUUUUGUUUACAAUAAAUAUUUUUUUUAAAUUGGCCUAUACCUGUUGUUCGCGUCCCCUCAUUUUUGCCACAGGCUAUGAGCCGGCCUGUGACAAGUGGUAUGAUGAAAAUGGCUCUCAUGAGAACUGCCACAGGAAAGGAAGACCCAGAGGUACUUCUGCUGCAGAGGAACUACAAUUAAUUUGGGAUUGACACAAGUAGUAUUCCACCAAAUGUGGCGUACAGCAGGUCAGCCACCAGGGGGAGAAUCAUCGAGGCCUGGUGACAGGAGUCGACAUCACGAGGCGAUGGCUCCCUCUGCUGGAUGUGCCAGGUCUCGACGGGCUCUCCUGCCAGGACUAAUUGGGGCUGAUUGUGCUUGGUGAGUAAUCAAGGGGCUGAUUGCUCACCAGCUAGAUGAGUCCCAUAAAGCUGCCAGGAGGGCAGCACACGGGAGAGGGGACUGGAGAAAGAGAGGUUACACCUGUAUAGUUGUGCACAGUCCCAGGGAUAACGGAGGGAGCUCAGUUUGGUUCCCCCAGGAUACAGCAAGACCCCGGAGCCCAGAAGACGGUAUCCCGGAGGAGGUCUCCUGGAGGAGAUUCUUUUAUUUUUCUUUGUUGUUUAAAUAAACACCCUUGAAAUUGA